This 254-nucleotide ribosomal RNA is filed under the name uncultured bacterium. RNAcentral's name for it is "partial 16S ribosomal RNA". It matches the Rfam family "Bacterial small subunit ribosomal RNA", at positions 524 to 776 of the family's 1533-position model. The record is from RNAcentral.
UACGAAGGGGGCUAGCGUUGUUCGGAAUCACUGGGCGUAAAGCGCACGCAGGCGGAUUGAUAAGUCAGGGGUGAAAUCCCGGAGCUCAACUUCGGAAUUGCCUUUGAUACUGUCUAUCUUCGAGUUCGGGAGAGGUUGGCGGAAUUCCUAGUGUAGAGGUGAAAUUCGUAGAUAUUAGGAAGAACACCGGUGGCGAAGGCGGCCUGCUGGGCAGUAGCUGACACUGAUGCGCGACAGCGUGGGGAGCAAACAGG